UCUGACCUCAAAUCAGUAGG
This 20-nucleotide ribosomal RNA is filed under the name Hodophilus atropunctus. Its description in RNAcentral is "partial 25S large subunit ribosomal RNA". Lineage: Eukaryota; Fungi; Basidiomycota; Agaricomycetes; Agaricales; Clavariaceae. The record is from RNAcentral.